AGAGUUUGAUCCUGGCUCAGGACGAACGCUGGCGGCAGGCUUAACACAUGCAAGUCGAACGCUCUCUUCGGAGAGAGUGGCAGACGGGUGAGUAACGCGUGGGAACGUGCCCUUCGGUACGGAACAACAGUUAGAAAUGACUGCUAAUACCGUAUACGACCUCCGGGUGAAAGAAUUUCGCCGAAGGAUCGGCCCGCGUUAGAUUAGCUUGAUGGUGGGGUAAAGGCCUACCAUGGCGACGAUCUAUAGCUGGUCUGAGAGGAUGAUCAGCCACACUGGGACUGAGACACGGCCCAGACUCCUACGGGAGGCAGCAGUGGGGAAUAUUGGACAAUGGGCGCAAGCCUGAUCCAGCCAUGCCGCGUGGAUGAAGAAGGCCCUAGGGUUGUAAAGUCCUUUCGAUGGUGAAGAUAAUGACGGUAACCAUACAAGAAGCCCCGGCUAAUUUCGUGCCAGCAGCCGCGGUAAUA
This 470-nucleotide ribosomal RNA is filed under the name uncultured bacterium. RNAcentral describes it as "bacterial SSU rRNA". It matches the Rfam family "Bacterial small subunit ribosomal RNA", at positions 8 to 525 of the family's 1533-position model. The record is from RNAcentral.